RNAcentral lists this transfer RNA (84 nucleotides) under Myxococcales bacterium. Its description in RNAcentral is "tRNA-Leu". It matches the Rfam family "tRNA". Rfam says of the family: Transfer RNA (tRNA) molecules are approximately 80 nucleotides in length. Their secondary structure includes four short double-helical elements and three loops (D, anti-codon, and T loops). The record is from RNAcentral. Lineage: Bacteria; Pseudomonadati; Myxococcota; Myxococcia; Myxococcales.
GCGAAGGUGGCGGAAUGGCAGACGCACUGGUUUCAGGUACCAGCGGGUAACACCGUGCGGGUUCAAGUCCCGCCCUUCGCACCG